GACGAACGCUGGCGGCGUGCCUAAUACAUGCAAGUCGAACGCUGAAGGAGGAGCUUGCUCUUCUUGGAUGAGUUGCGAACGGGUGAGUAACGCGUAGGUAACCUGCCUGGUAGCGGGGGAUAACUAUUGGAAACGAUAGCUAAUACCGCAUAAUAGUAGAUGUUGCAUGACAUUUGCUUAAAAGGUGCAAUUGCAUCACUACCAGAUGGACCUGCGUUGUAUUAGCUAGUUGGUGAGGUAACGGCUCACCAAGGCAACGAUACAUAGCCGACCUGAGAGGGUGAUCGGCCACACUGGGACGGAGACACGGCCCAGACUCCUACGGGAGGCAGCAGUAGGGAAUCUUCGGCAAUGGACGGAAGUCUGACCGAGCAACGCCGCGUGAGUGAAGAAGGGUUUCGGAUCGUAAAGCUCGGUUGUAAGAGAAGAACGAGUGUGAGAGUGGAAAGUUCACACUGUGACGGUAUCUUACCAGAAAGGGACGGCUAACUACGUG
This 496-nucleotide ribosomal RNA is filed under the name uncultured bacterium. RNAcentral describes it as "partial 16S ribosomal RNA". It matches the Rfam family "Bacterial small subunit ribosomal RNA", at positions 28 to 507 of the family's 1533-position model. The record is from RNAcentral.